Molecule: long non-coding RNA, 3952 nt
Organism: Eriocheir sinensis (Chinese mitten crab)
Lineage: Eukaryota; Metazoa; Arthropoda; Malacostraca; Decapoda; Varunidae
Exons: 3
Source: RefSeq, a predicted model, not a curated record
UUAACAGACAGAGCAACGUGCUGAUAGAGGAACAUUAGCUACGUAGGCCUACCAGCACAUCCCUACACCCACGUGCCUACACCUUUCCUCUAACAACAGACAAAACUACGUGGCAAUAGACGAUAAUAGUUAUAGGGUGUACCGUACGUAGUUCAUUCAGCGCCUCCUCACAACCGAGAGAGCCCGGGUUCGAUUCGCGGGCGGAGUGGAAAAAUUUUGGCGGCUUUCCCGAUACCCUACGCCCCUGUCCACCCAGCAGUGAAUGGGUACCAGGUAUUAAUCGGGGGUUGUGUCCCGUCUCCUGGGAUCUGUUCCCUUCUAUAAUUCCUUCCCCUCCUGUCUCUCUCCGGCAUAUGACCACAGAUGUUGCGCCGACUAAACGAAACUUUCCAACUUUACUUUCACACCCUUCCUCUACUAACACACAAAGCUACGUGGCAAUAAUCGAUAAUAAGUUAUAGGUGUUCAAAUCAACGUUUCCUCACACCGACUAGUAACAGACAAAACUACGUGUCAAUAGAGGAUAACUAGCUACGUAAUAGUCCAACCAUCGUCUCCUCACAUCAUCUAGUACCUAACAGACAAACUAUGUGCCAGUAGGCGAUAAUAAUUGUUCGUGGUCCAAUCAGAGUUUCCUUCAACGUUGCCAGAUUAUCGUACUCAACCGCUAAUAUUUCCCGGCUUCCUACCCCAAAACGGUCUUCUGGACUCCAAUAACGAAACGCAUUUAUGGUUAUCGUUACAAGAGUUAGAUCCUGAUGUUUCUUGGCAAUAGUUAGGCGUCAGAAACCGGUAAAUACUAUGCUCUGAGUACGACAAUUUGGCAACGGUGGUUUCCUUACACUCUUCCUCUAGUAACAUACAAAAUUUCCUGCUCUAUUCUGUUCCGUUUUGGUGAGUUUGACAGGAAGCUCCCUAACACACCAUGCUUUUAAGUGUGACAUGUUAUAGAUUGACCAACUAUUUAUUUUAUCUCUAUCUCUCAUUCAGUCGCUCUCCCAUUCCCUUCGUUUCGGGGUUUUGGCAGUAAGCUCCCUAACACACCAUGCUUUUAAGUGUGACAUGUUAUAGAUUGACCAACUAUUUCUUUUCUCUCUCCCUCUCAUUCAGUCCCUCUCCCAUUCUCUCCCUUCGGCUCCGUUUCGUGGUAUUGGAACAGCCGGAGAAGAGGAAGCUCGUCUGUGCGGGCAAGUGGUCGUUACGGUGAUUGGUAGAACGACCACCUGCGUCCUUGCCCCAAUACUACUUCUCUACGCCUGUUUGGACUUGAUAUAUUCGCCUCAUUAUGCGUUGUAGCGUUUAGGUUUAGGUGAGGGAGAUUAUGGCGGUGUGACGAACGGAGGAAUGUAGUUUUGGGAUGAGUCAUUAUUCGAUGCUUCAAUGAGUUACUUUUUACAUUAUUAUUGUUAUUUGCUUUCUUUGCCUCACUCACAUUCCCCUUCUCUCUCUCUCUCUCUCUCUCUCUCUCUCUCUCUCUCUCUCUCUCUCUCUCUCUCUCUCUCCUUUGCCAAUCUCCCUUGUUCUCAUUUCCACUGAUGAAGGUCAAAUUAAUUAUACAAUACCCGAAGCAUUGCCCACAAAUAUAAGUAGAAAUACAAAAGCAAUAUAAGCAAUACUAUAUUUUUUCAUAACAUCUGCUCCUGCUGCUUCUGUUAAUGCUACUGCUAUUAAAACGUCAUUGAUCUAUGUAGGCCUAUUUAUACGAAGCCAAUCUUCAAUGAUAUAUAGGAAAAAAGAGAAUUCGUUGCUUAAUAAAUCAAAUGUAAGUUUCUAUUUGAUAUGCACAUAAUGUAUUUGUAUAAGGAUGUGUGUGUGUGUGUGUGUGUGUGUGUGUGUGUGUGUGUGUGUGUGUGUGUGUGUGUGUGUGUGUGUGUGUGUGUGUGUGUGUGUGAUAGUUUCAAGCAGUUAUCCCUACAAAUAUUUUUCCCGUUUUCUUCGUUAGUUCAUCAGCCUACAUACUAUCGUUGCCAUGGAAACCGUUACCUAUCACAUUCCUCAACAGUGUUAUUCGUGUAGAACAAUCAGUAGACCACUUUUAGAUAUUCGCAAUAUAUCAAACUCAAAUGAUGGAUAUUUAUGGGUAUGUUUAGAAUAAUUGUAAUAAGCUUAUGUGAUCACGAGGGCGGGGCUUGGGAUGAAAAGAAGGCUUGUGAUUGGCUGGAGACUGGCGUGACCUGUGACGUCAUCGCGGCAGCUCACGGGAGGCCUCGGAGCACCGUUGCCAGAUUAUCGUACUCAGAGCCUCGUACUUACCGGUUUCUGAGAUUGCCCAAAAAACACCAAUAAUUAACCACUUUAACGAUAAUUACAUAUGAAGGCAGUUAUUAAGGUCGAGGAGGCAGUUUUUAGGUCGGAAAUCGGCAAACAUAGGAGGCUGAGUACGACAAUCUGACAACGUUGCCUCUGAGCACCGUUGCCAGAUUAUCGUACUCAAAACAUCGAAUAUUCCGGUAUCUGAGCCACAACUAUUGCAAAAGAACACCAAUAAUUAACCAUUUCAACGAUAGCUAUAAAUAAAUCUAGUUACUCGGGUGGAGGAGACAGUUUUGGGGUAGGAAAUCGGCAAAUAUUAUAAGUGGCUGAGUACGACAAUCUGGUACUGCUUCAGUCGGAGUUUGGGGCCCAGAUUAUCAUACUCAUCGCAUUGCACUGUCGUAGUUUCUGACCGAUAACUAAAGCAAAAAACACAAAAAGCAUCAAUAAAUAACAGUUUUAACGCUAACUUUAAUGUUCUAUCGUUGUUUGUGUGGUUGCGGCAGUCUUCCGGCCUAAAAAUGAUAAAUGCAAUGUUCAGAGUACGACAAUUUGGCAACGCUGGACUUUGGGCACGGCGGCAAGCAGGGGAGGAGGACGUGUGACCCGCCAGUGAUCAAUUUUAUCCGAUUUUUGUGAGUGACAUGUGACGUGCGCGAUCCUCGUCCUCAUCGUCGUGGAGGGCAAGGCGUGGCGUGUUCAGGAGGCGAGCAGGGGAGAGAGAACGACCCCAGCACGGUGGGCGGGGGCAGAAGUGGGGCCUCCCUCUCGUACUCCCUGGAGUGCAGCACAAUGAAGCAGUCUGGAAGAGGCGGUGGACUGAAUAUUAGUGUCAGUGUAUCGUCUCCUCCACAACCAGUAGGAAAGGGAAGUAAAAUGAUCCCUGCUCCCUCUAGCGCCAUCUCCCUAAGCAGCAGUCUUGAAAGGUAAAGUAACAGCCCCAUAGUCUCCAGUGUUCACUAAGGUUAUUCUAAAUACUAUAAGGUUACUCAAUACAAUAUCCGAAUAUGUGCUUCUGUAGGCUGCCUCUCCAGUAGGAACUGUUUUUCAAGUUAACCCUUCGGUGCACCUCCACCACCUCAUAGUAUGCAGCAAGGUAUAAUACUGUCAUCUUAGUUUGAGAAAAUACCAGUUAAGGUUAAGGAUGUUGAGAUGCACAGAUUUUUAUGGUUUUCAUUAUCUGUAUUUUAGUCGGUCUCUUAAUGGACUGAAUAGUUUUUUUGAUCGAAAAAUUCAAAUUGCUGAUGAAAUGAGUUAAACACGCUGAAUAAUAACAGAUGGUUGUGGCGACAUUUUCCGUACGUUUCAGCUGGGACCGCUCCUACUCUCAGACCGCUACACCGGCCCACUAGUCAGAGCUUUCUCAAGAGGUAGUUACUGGAUAUUAAUUGUGGGUAUAUCCCAAGGGAGGGCAGCCCAUGAUGUAACAACACUCCAUGGGAAUUAUGGCUUUCUUAAUACACCUGAUUAAAGCCUUCAGUGUGAGCCGUGUCUAAAGAGAAGUACAACCAAUCCCACCAAGGGUUGCCCGGCGGCCUUCAGGUGUAGGGUGCAUUAUUUCUUUAGCUGUCUGCAUCGGGAUCUUCCGCUAGUACUGAGAAUCAAUGAAAAUAUGAAUACACGAACACAUGAAUAGUAAUAAACCUCAGUAACCUCUCCAUCUUUCAUGCAUGCUCUAAUAUAGGAAAACAAGACUUAU